AGCACUCAUGUCAGUUUUUGUUUAACUUGUGGACAAACUUAAAGAUGAGGCAAAAAUAAAUCCUCCUUUGCAGCCCAGCACUCAUUGUUCAGUAUGCAUUCGGUGCAUGUAAGAAGGAAUAUU
Small nucleolar RNA from Tupaia belangeri (northern tree shrew), 123 nucleotides. Lineage: Eukaryota; Metazoa; Chordata; Mammalia; Scandentia; Tupaiidae. The record is from Ensembl.